Molecule: non-coding RNA, 643 nt
Organism: Pogona vitticeps (central bearded dragon)
Lineage: Eukaryota; Metazoa; Chordata; Lepidosauria; Squamata; Agamidae
Source: RefSeq, a predicted model, not a curated record
CAGAAUUGAUGGGUGGACGAGUGCUGCUCAUCUCACACCUUUGUGGUCCCAUAAGACCCAUAACAUGAGAUCGAAGGCUAAACCCAUGUCUGUGAAGGAGCACAAGACCAGGCCCCUCAGAUCUUGUUGGACCGUUAACUUCUACAACCAACACGGGCAAAGGUGAGAAGCAAUGGAGGCUGUGGAUUAACAACAACUGGAGGGCCACAAUUUCCCAACCUGUGCAGUAGAGUGUGGACAUUCAGAAGUCGAAGCAGAAAGCUCGGUGGCAUGCCGUCUUCUCUUCCCCGACAGUGGAUGCAACACAAGCACAUGCCUCUGUUCUGCAAUUCAAACGGCACGAUCCAAAUGGUAUUGCUGACAGUUUGUUACAGCAGGACUUGAAGUGCAGCUUGGAAUAAAAAGACCUCAGGCUACUCCCGCCUACUGCAUACCACUUACCUCCACAGGCGAUAACAGAAGUUGACCUGAAGUACAUAAUUUAUUGUCUGUUUGGUUCUCAGAAAUGCUGCAUAAAUGGAAGCUUGUCCUUACAUUUAUGUGCUGUUUGUUUUGCAUACUUUGAGGCACUGUGUUUUGUUGGGUAGAGGGCUGCCUUCCCGGGGUUUGCCAUACUCAUGGCCCAACACAAUGUACUUCAAAU